GGGGUUUCUUUUUUCUGUUUCCGUCCGCUUCCCUUCCAUAUCUCUACUACUACAUAAGUUCUUAGUGUAGACGUCCACAACAAACGGUGCACGGUUCUGCCAUCUAUCCAGCUUGGAAGGUUCCCGAGAUCCCCGCCUCCCUACGCCGAUCCGCCCAUCGCGCCGCGUCUCUCUCGCUGCGUCCUUCCGUAGUCUCCUCCCGCAAUCAACGCAUCCUCGCCUUACCAUGCCGAUCUAGCCCCGGCUCUCCAUGGAAGGUGUGACCUCUGCACCCAACUCUCCAGGGAAGGCGCGGUGGCCUCCCGCAAUCAACGGUCUCUUGCCCCACCGCGACGACCUUGCCCUGGCUGGAAGGCCGUGUAAGGUGCGACCGAGCCCCAGCUCAACAUGGAAGGUGCGAUCCACUCUCCUCGCCCCAUCAUCGGCGUCCACUAUCCAUCGAAGAGUCCCGCCUUCCCAGUCCCCCUUCCCCACAGAUGGCCGGCGAACCCAUCGCCACCGUGCCAUCGGGGCCUGAAUCCGUGGCCGAGGCCAACCGCCUCCUGGCGCUGGCCGAGUCGGAGCUCUCCACGGGCAGGCACGCCCUUCGCGCGCAGGUACGCCCUCCGCGCCGCCCGCCUGUACCCGACCUCCCCGCGCGCCCCAGUGGUGGCCACCGCCGCCAAUGUGCUCCUCGCCGACGCCUCCUCCCACCACGCCGCGCUGCUGCUGCCCGAGCCCGACGACCCCCACGCCUCGCCGCUCUCCGUCUCCGAGCUCUACCGCCACUUCAAGUCGCUCAUCAAGUCCCUCCGCGUCGGCCUCGACGCCACCACCGCAGCCGCCUACCCCUCCGUUGCCGCCGCCGCCGAGGAGGCACUCGGCCGCGCCACCAAGGCCUACGAGGCGCUCACCGCUCCUGCCCCUGGGACCUUCUGGACCGCCUGCGAUUUCGGUUUCAACUCUGGAAAUUGCUGAUCAAUUAAUUAUGGGGGGAAGCGUCUCUACUUCCUUCUCGGUUGGUCAAGGUAUCCCCUUCCUGUGUCCUCUCUCCUCUGUGUAGAUGGCGAAUUUGUGGAGUCCGAAUAAUCUGAAUGUUCUCGCAUUCUUUACAUAAUCCCUUGCCAAUUCAUGGCAAGUUUUAUUUGCUCCAUUUGUUUUAUGGUAUGAUGAUCUGGAUCUGAUGAGCCCAUUCAAAUUCUUUUGCCGAGCCGCCGUCCCUCUUUUUCUACUGUUUGUUUGUGUAUCGGAAUUGCUGGAUCUAUACCGAAAUCUGAAAAGUGUAGGCCAUACAGAGAAUUAAGAAGUUGUCUUGACCUCACUGGACCCAGAGACUACUCAUCACCAGAGGAAAUGGUACAAAGACUAACAACAGCUUCUACUGUACUAAGGAGGGUGUUGGAUAAUCCAGCACUCCAGGACUGUCAAGAGAAUAAUGGAUUUGGAGACAUGAUGGAUGAAGAUGUUAUAAGCAAUAUUUCAGUUCGCUUGAAGUUAAGUCUUACUGUUUAGGACUUCACUCUCCCAGUGACACCUACUUUACCUGCUGUUUUUGGUGUAUCCUGGCAAUAUUCCUUUUUACUGUGUUCCAUUUCCAUUUCUGUGAUGUGCUCAACUUUACGUUUGGAUAAAAGUUAGUAAGGUAAAGUAAACACAUUCACAAAUUCAAGUACUGAGAAGAAAAACUGUACGUUUCAAAGUAGUUGUCCAAGUUAUGCCAACUUGCUUUUAUGUAAUGACAGCAAGAAAGCUGAUCUAAGACCUGCAUUGUGGUGAAUUUUGCAGCUGUCCGGCCGCGUGUACCGCGUCACCUUCACCAACCGGCUCAACGGGGACGCAGGCGCGGUGCCGUGAAGCAGAUACGGACCGCCGGGAAACUGUACCUCCACAAGAGCAACUGGGAAAACUUCGUGAAGAAAAUGGGUCUCUUAAAAGAAGCUUGGAGAGCUGUAAGACAGUUUCAGCCAAUUCUAAUGGCACUUUGGAAAGAUCACUUAAAGUGCAAAGGAAUGCAGUUCAGGAAAAUUCAUUGAAUCUCACCAAGCAGAAUGGAUAUGGUGGUGGUUCUUCUCACAGUACCCAGGCAAAUGGUGUUCUCCAUGCCAUGGCAACCAGUGGUCAAGUUGGCCAUUUGGCUCGGUGGGACCUUCGCUCGUCCUGCAUGUUAUGUGACUCUCAAAAACUUGCACUUUCCAUUACUUGUACAGAGUCUAACGGACGGCCUUACUACUGAUACAUGAUAACUAUUUAUAUCGCUAUCGGGGUUUCAAGACUACGGAUGGCUUCAUGCUCAUUGUAUUUUUAGGUUGUCAAGCCUGUCAAUUAGAUCCAAAGCAUUGUUCCUAUCAAUCUCAAAGUAAAUAACUGGAAGUAUGGAAGACCUCCUAACUGGGAGCAAGUCUUUCCUGUUUCCACUGGCUGGGUAGCUGGAUCAUCAACAAAAGAGAACUACUUUGGAGACCAUCAUGACGACAGAAGAUUUUCUGUCGCCUGUAUUAGGUGGUGAAUCUUAACAAGUCAAUAUGUAAAGCUCAACUCUUCCCAUUGUAUGAGAACAGAACAUUAGUGAUCAAGUUGCUGGUUACAUGAGAGAUCCAAGCCGGAUGAUUAACAAGAUGUACUUGACCAACUCUACUGUUAGAGUAUUUGGAAAGGACGUGGGAGAACCUGGAACAGCUGUGGAGGGGCACAUUAUGGAAGGUGAUCCUGGACUUAUUGAUGAUUUUGAGUUUUAUCAACAACUUCUCAAGGAGUUCCUUGAGUCAUGUGAUAGAGGGGCAUCAGGUUAGUUCAUUUUGAAAAAAAUAGUUAAAAUGUUGCACUGUACAAAACACCAAAGUAUAUAGUUAAGCAUGUGACCUCAUGCCAUUUGUCCUAUAUCGUAAGUUUACAUUACAUUCAUCACCAAGAAAACAUUAACUAAGGGUCAAAUUUUGAGCAAUCCUAUUGGUGGUGUGAACUGAAAACUGAUGGUUCGAUGAGGCAGAUCAUAGUGCAACAGAUCAAGUGCCAUCGUCGGAUUUGAGCCCAAACAAAGCUGGAGGUAGUGAAGGACUUAGUGGCAGCAUGUUGCCCUGGUUCAUGAAGCACCCCCACCCCCUCCGCGGGUCCAUGGAUGCAACCAAAGUUUUAUUUGUUUAAGCAGCCUCGGUUCAUACCAAGCUGAAGCGUUGAACCGAAGAAUCUUCUCCCCUUUGUCGAUGCUGAUAGUGUGUAAAUUGAACUAUAUGACUGUCACAUCGAUUUACAACACUGGAGCUACUUGAACAGCUUAUAGGGCUGGAAGCUUACAAAAUAAGCAUUACAAUUUGGCACAUAGCAUAUCCAGUACCAUGUCCAUGAGAAGAUCACUAAUUUCAUGGCACCGGAGCCCAUGGUUCUUCCUCCAAUGGCUCCGAAGUUGUUUGAGAAUUUAUUUGGGAAUAGCAGCUAGAAUCCAUAUACUGCAGUAGAUUAAAUUUCACAUUUCUUGCUGUUGCUUUUUCUACUUCUAUAAACUGCACUCGGUAUGAUGUCACUAGACUAAAUUGAAAGUUUUGAUGGCCUCAUCAGUUUUGUGCGUACACAAUUUUUCUGGAUUCCGUGUGCAGCUCACUAGAUGUAUCAGGAUGCGCGCACGGAAACAAGCAGGUGAAGGGUUUCAUGUUUGAAAAACCGGUUGAUCUGAAAGUAGGUGUGAACCAUGUCGUAUUGCUGUCAUCAACUAUGGGAAUGAAGGAUAGUGGUGGUGAACUUGCUGAAGUAAAGGGCGGCAUUCAGGAGUGCCUAAUCCAAGGUCUCAACACUGGGACGUUGGAUUUACAAGUCAAUGGCUGAGGCCAUAAAGCUGCACUAGAAGGUGAGUUAAAGGAGAUCUACUCAGAAAAAGGUUUGGGCAAAGUUCAGUGGAAACCGGCUGAGAACGACCGGGCAGCCACUUGGUAUAAGAGAUACUUUGAUGAGCCAGAUGGAGAUGAUCCCGUUGUACUUGACAUGAGCUCAAUGAGCAAGGGAAUGAUUUUUGUGAAUGGCGAAGGAGUGGGUAGAUACUGGGUCUCAUACCGAACUCUUGCUGGAACUCCUUCUCAAGCAGUGUAAGUCUGUGGAGUUAACCUUAUUGAGGCAGGUCGUAUACUGUUCUUGGCCAACAAGCUUGACAAUAAAAGGUCUUUUCAUUUGCCGUCGUGGCGUCUGUGGAGCGGGUGUGGAGCGGGUGUUCGCGGGUGUUCGCGGACAAGGCGGUGCCGUCGUGGCGGGAGCAGCUCACGCUGCGGGCAUUCGUCGUCAGCGCGCUGCUGGCCGUCAUGUUCAGCGUCAUAGUCAUGAAGCUCAACCUUACCACGGGGAUCAUCCCCUCCCUCAAUGUCUCCGCUGGGCUGCUCGGCUUCUUCUUCGUCCGCAUGUGGACCGCCGCCGCCGAGAGGAUGGGCUUCCUCCGCCAGCCCUUCACCAGGCAGGAGAACACCGUCAUCCAGACCUGCGUUGUCUCUGCCUACGGCAUCACCUUCAGCGGUGGCUUUGGCAGUUAUCUAUUUGAAAUGAGUGAAAAAAUAGCUAAACAAGCAACAACGGUGUACCACGGAGGAACAAAUUUUGGAAGGACUGGCGCUUCUUAUGUGCUGACUGGAUACUAUGAUGAAGCUCCCAUGGAUGAAUAUGGUAUGUACAAGGAGCCCAAAUUUGGGCAUCUCAGGGACUUGGCACAACGUAAUAAGGUCAUAUCAAAAAGCAUUCCUCUGGGGCAACAUUCGUCUGAGAUAUUGGGUCAUUGGUAUGAGGCACACAUCUUUGAGUUGCCUGAAGAAAAGCUAUGCCUCUCUUUCCUUUCCAACAAUAACACGGGCGAAGACGGAACAGUGAUCUUCCGAGGGGAUAAGCACUAUGUGCCUAGCCGUUCUGUCUCCAUUAUUUGGGGUUACCGAGGAGGGGGUGAACCAAACACAAAAACAUCAGCUCAUGCUCGUGCGGUAUUUUAAGCCCUGCCUCUACAUGGACGCCGGCCUCGCUUCCGCGGUCACCAUGCUCCGGACCUGCACCGAUGUCGCGCACGUGCUCGAGCAGUUUCGUCUCGCCUGGUGCGGCAAGCUCGUUCGGGACGCCCGCACCGUCGUUCCGUCAAGGACCUCUGCUUCGACCUCUUCAUCAUUAGGGGUGGAAACAGAGCUUUCAAUGCAUGCUGGAGGUGCGCGAUGUGAUCGAUAUUAUCCAUGCUUGAUAAAUGAUAACAAUGGUGAUGGUCAUGAUAUAUGGUCAAUAUUGUAUUGAUCUUUUUCCGAGUUUUAGGCUGUCAUGUUGUUUGCUGGAAUGGAGAUAUUUCAUUAUUCACUUGGUUCAUGUGACAGAGUUAAUUACCUUGUUUACGUGCUUUCUUAGUAC
Zea mays is the source of this 5334-nucleotide RNA transcript. It is a transcript of the gene named beta-galactosidase - oligopeptide transporter protein pseudogene, with no coding region annotated. The transcript is spliced from 18 exons. Lineage: Eukaryota; Viridiplantae; Streptophyta; Magnoliopsida; Poales; Poaceae. The record is from RefSeq and is marked validated.